GGAGUUUUAAACACUGUGUCCACCCACUGUCCACUCUAUUAGACACUCAUACCUUGUUGGUCCACCUUGUACAUGUAAAUUCUUCAGGGAUAUUUUUACACACCUCCAAAGUUCAGUCUGAGAAGUUUUUUCGCUCCUGAGAAGUUUCUGAGAAGUAAUCACAAACACAUUUAGCAAUGACAAGGUCUGGACUCUGGGGUGGUGUUCUGAGAACAUCAGCAGCUUCUUUGUUUGAUUUGCAGAUUUUCUUUUUUUAUCUAUUUGUUUUUCUCAGUAAUGGCUUCUCUGACUUAUGAACAGUAAUGUGUAUUUAAAUUAUGGUGGAUUUGUACUUUAUCACUAAUACUUCUUCUCAGGAAUGAUUGUGAGGAAAGUCUAGACAUAUUUUUAUGAACAUUUAGUUACUAAUUACCUCUGAUUAUUUUAGAGCAAGGAUAUAUUAAAUAUGUAUUUUCUUUAGACAUAUUUCCUGAAAAAUGAGUAACUUGUAUGAUUUGAGUGGAAAUAAAUGAAUAAAUACAUGAAAGGUGGCCUUUUUCACAGUACAGUAGAUAGUAGGUUGUAUGUUAUAAAUAGGUGUAUAUAUAAGUUGAACUGAGUUAUAUAAGUAUUGAUGAACACUCUUUGUGUUAAUGAGAAACGAGUGAAUGUGCUAGAGAGGCCUGAGGCAAUGAAAGAGGGAGAAUAAAGUCUUUCAGUCGAGAGACUCCGUGAUUUGAGUUGCCCCUCCAACUGGCACCAAUUACUCAGCCAGCGUAUUCAACUUAUUUGAAUUUCUAAUGCCUCAUUAGAAUGUGUUAAUGGGUGGGAAACAGUCUUAUUGAAGUGUCAAGCUGUAGGUCUUGAUUUAUUGUUUCUUUUUCCUGCCCAUCAAAUAUUGCGCCACCAUGUGGAGUUGUUUUUUUAUAACAUCCUUAAAUAGAGCAAAACUUUUUAGAAGCAUGUUAUGAACGGUUUUGCUGACGUUGGACUCAUUGACUUUUUUUCCAGUGUGUGGGCCAAAGCUCGCUAUGCUGCCUUUAUUAGCACAAAGAGCUGAGGCCCAGGCUCAAGCCCUUGUCCUGCCCUGAGGUGCAUGCAUUGUGCUGCUAUGAAUGUGACUUGGCGAGAGCAGCUUCAUGCAGGGAGCUGAGUGAGAAUGAGGCUCUUGUUGGACUGACGAGAUGAGUUUUGGGACCCAGCCUUCCGUAACAGGAAUGGAGUUUGUUCCAGAACAAAAGACCCAGUUUGGACCAGUUUGCAGUGUAACAGUGUUUCCAUUCUGUAAUUGUGCUGCACUGAACCAUGAGCCAAAGUGCAACAGUUGGUAUAGUGGCUGACUGACAGACAAUAAAUCAUGAUUGUCCUGCUAUCAAUAAUUAAUUUGUUAAUUAACCUAUUUUAGUCCAUUUUCAUCUGCAAUGCCUAGAUCAACUUACCUGCACGUACAUCAGGAUUCAAAAAUGCACGUGGCACCACAUGGCCUUGUUUUCCAAUUUGAGAAUAUUCCCUUAUUUAGUAACCAAAGGUGGGAAGAGCAGCCUAAAUUCAUACUGGAAUAAAAAAAUAGUUUUUCUGUGAAAUAAUAAAGAAAUAUAAAAUAAUUAAAAAAUAAAAUUAAUUUCCAAAAACAGCUUGCAUAGAAGUACAAAAGCAGCAGUUUAAAAACUACUUAAGUACAGAGUUCCCUAUAGAACUGCAGCAGAACCUCUUAGUACAUCCAGCUUCUAUUAGCAUAUGAAUGAGGUUUGUUAACAAACAAGUAUGUUACCAUUUAUUUUUUUUCUUUAGUCUUAAAUAACAUGAUUAACCUUAACCAUCAGAGGGAAUAAAGUAACUAAAUGUUAAUAAAAUAUGCCUAGAUUACUGGAACAUUUAGUGAGUACAAAUCCUUCAUAAUUCAAUUUGAAUAUUCAGUACUUGUCAAAAGUCAGAGACCCCUCUUCACUACUUUAAUUCCCAGUCCUAACAAGAAGUAUUUCAGUAUUUAGUGUGUCCACCCUUUACCUUUAUUUCAGCUUCCAUUCUUACCAGGAGACUUGCUUUGAGUUUGUGAAAGAAAUCUGCAGGGAUAGACAACAUACUUAACACAAGGGAACCUAAAAUACUGUUUCAGUUAAUGGACAAAGGAGAGCAUAACCUGAUUGUCUGCAUGGACGAACAUAGAAGCCCAGCUGGGAUUGAAUUAGCUGCAUGGUGAUCUAAUCUUUGAAUUCCAGUUUUGGAAAUUCCUGGUUUUUCACUUCUCAUUUUCAUUUGACUUUCCCCUCCUUUUGCAAGUGGGUUAUGUAAUAUUUAAUCUCCUCAUAAAUAUACAUAAUAGCCGUGAGUAAAUGUAACUACUAAUACUCAUCACUGUUGUUUCCACAGCACACAGAAGUGGAGGAGGGUCUGCAACACAUUUUGUAAAGGUGCUUAGGACAGGAUAUAUUUGGAACACAGCCCCAGGGAGAAAACGUGACGCUACACCUUUACUCUGUGGGAUACACCCCACCACCACCACCACCACCAUUUAGUUACACACGCCUGCACAAACACAUCACAGAUCACACAACACAAGGGAUAUUACACCUGAGCAGUGGACACAAAAGACUGAGGCCCUGAAUAAUUGAGGCAGCAGCAGGACGAGUGGAAAUAGAGCAAUUAACUAAGCUGUCAAUCAUAAGGCAACAACAAACUGGAACCCGAGAGCCUCUGGGGGGCUGUCAGGAAACUCUCCAAGUAAACAUUUUGAGUGUUUAUUCUGUUUUCCUUCUGCUUUUUUGUUGUUUUGUUUUUGUUUUUUUUCCAGAUAGUGGCUUAAAACUCUAGGCAGCUGAGUUUAAAAUAGUUCAGGCAUUAAUGUAUGCAUUGCGUGCAGAUUUGUUUUAAGGUCUAAUUCAAGCAAAUCCAGCCUACUACAUUCUUAAUACACAGCCUAAAAGACUGUUUCAGUUCAUUGAAAAAGGAGCGCAUAACCUGAUUGUCUGCAUGGAAGAACAUGGAGGCCCAGCUGGGAUUGAAUUAGCUGGAUGGUGAUCUGAUCUCCUAAGCACAGCCCAUUGCUAGUCUGCCCAUCAACCUUUCCAAACAUCCUGACAGGUUCCUUCAUUACUGCCUCUUUAUGAACAAGAUGAUGUGAAGUGGCUGUAAUUAUAACAAUUAUUCUCUUCUCAGUCUACAGAAACACUCCACCAGUCGAAAUGUCUGUGUACUGAAAUCAGUUAGAAGUAAAUAAAGUCAUUCAGUGUGGUUAGAUGUGAAAUGGGAUAUUCUGAAACUCUUUUCAGAUAUAACUCUGAUUUUCACCGCAAUGCUUUCCUAACAGUAGUCACUGGUGUUCACUGGCAACAGUGACUGAUUUUCAUAGAUCUAUUUCUCAGUGCUACUCUCUAAACACUUUUAUCCAAGGGCAGGCUGUUUUCUUUUUCUCUACAUUUAAUUUGGGAUAUUAAUUAUAAAACCAUGUCUUCUGUUUGUGUUGCUCUUAUUGUGCUGUUAUCCUGUGUCAACCAGAAGAGGAUGGGUGCACUUUUUUGAGUCAUGGUUCCUCUCAAGGUUUCUUCCUCUUGCUCUUAUAGGGAGUUUUUCCUUGGCACUGUCGCCCUUGGCUUGCUCCUCUGAGCUUGUAAAAGCACUGUAUGAAUAAAAUUUGAUUUGUUGAAUAUCACA
Long non-coding RNA from Pygocentrus nattereri (red-bellied piranha), 3630 nucleotides. RefSeq lists it as uncharacterized. The record is from RefSeq and is a predicted model, not a curated record. The transcript is spliced from 2 exons. NCBI's taxonomy places the organism in Eukaryota, Metazoa, Chordata, Actinopteri, Characiformes, Serrasalmidae.